This 70-nucleotide transfer RNA is filed under the name Desulfatibacillum aliphaticivorans. RNAcentral's name for it is "tRNA-Und (NNN) (tRNA-Und-NNN-2-1)". The record is from RNAcentral. Lineage: Bacteria; Pseudomonadati; Thermodesulfobacteriota; Desulfobacteria; Desulfobacterales; Desulfatibacillaceae.
GUACCGGCGUAUCAUCUGAAAAACCCUGACACGGUAGAAGUCGUUGGUUCAAAUCCAAUCGUGCCUACCA